Long non-coding RNA from Etheostoma spectabile (orangethroat darter), 400 nucleotides. RefSeq lists it as uncharacterized. Lineage: Eukaryota; Metazoa; Chordata; Actinopteri; Perciformes; Percidae. The record is from RefSeq and is a predicted model, not a curated record. The transcript is spliced from 2 exons.
UAACGGUUUUCAUGAGGGUGCGCGCGCGUCUUGGCAACGGAAGUUGAACAUUGUUGUUGCUGCCAAGAACUUCCUUGACCGAAGCUAGCUAACAUUAACCAGCUGAAUCCAAACCGUUUUGAAGGAAAAUGUCGUCCUGUUGCGUGCAUGGCUGUAAAAACCGACAGUCCUCAACCAGCAAAUUGAAAUUUUACAGAAUACCGUCUGGCUCUCGGCCGUUUCAGGCCAACCGGAGACGUUUAUGGUUACAAGCAAUCCAACAAGCAAACGGCAGCACCGAGGAGCUCAAAGGAAAUGCUCGUAUUUGUGGCGCUCAUUUUAAGUCACAGGAAGCGUCCAUGGACCACGACAGUCCAGACUUUGUGCCCUCUGUGUUUACAUAUGCUAAACAGACCCCAAA